Molecule: ribosomal RNA, 253 nt
Filed under: uncultured bacterium
Lineage: Bacteria
Description: partial 16S ribosomal RNA
Rfam family: Bacterial small subunit ribosomal RNA
Source: RNAcentral
GACGAACCGUGCGAACGUUGUUCGGAAUCACUGGGCUUAAAGGGUGCGUAGGCGGGCGAUCAAGUCAGGGGUGAAAUCCUCCAGCUUAACUGGAGAACUGCCUUUGAUACUGGUCAUCUUGAGUGAGGUAGGGGCGUGCGGAACUGAUGGUGGAGCGGUGAAAUGUGUUGAUAUCAUCAGGAACUCCGGUGGCGAAAGCGGCGCGCUGGACCUUUACUGACGCUGAGGCACGAAAGCCAGGGGAGCAAACGGG